GUUAGUUGCCAUCAUUCAGUUUGGGCACUCUAGCGAGACUGCCGGUAAUAAACCGGAGGAAGGUGGGGAGUGACGUCAAAUCAUCAUGCCCCUUAUGACCUGGGCUACACACGUGCUACAAUGGUUGGUACAACGAGUUGCGAGUCGGUGACGGCGAGCUAAUCUCUUAAAAGACCAAUCUCAGUUCGGAUUGUAGGCUGCAACUCGCCUACAUGAAGUCGGAAUCGCUAGUAAUCGCGGAUCAGCACGCCGCGGUGAAUACGUUCCCGGGCCUU
This 275-nucleotide ribosomal RNA is filed under the name uncultured Streptococcus sp. RNAcentral's name for it is "partial 16S ribosomal RNA". It matches the Rfam family "Bacterial small subunit ribosomal RNA", at positions 1110 to 1382 of the family's 1533-position model. The record is from RNAcentral. Lineage: Bacteria; Bacillati; Bacillota; Bacilli; Lactobacillales; Streptococcaceae.